RNAcentral lists this ribosomal RNA (355 nucleotides) under uncultured Gammaproteobacteria bacterium. RNAcentral describes it as "bacterial SSU rRNA". It matches the Rfam family "Bacterial small subunit ribosomal RNA", at positions 30 to 389 of the family's 1533-position model. The record is from RNAcentral. Lineage: Bacteria; Pseudomonadati; Pseudomonadota; Gammaproteobacteria.
UUGAACGCUGGCGGCAGGCCUAACACAUGCAAGUCGAGCGUGAAAGUACUUCGGUAUGAGUAGAGCGGCGGACGGGUGAGUAACGCGUAGGAAUCUACCUAGUAGUGGGGGACAACUUGGGGAAACCCAAGCUAAUACCGCAUACUCCCUACGGGGGAAAGCGGGGGACCUUCGGGCCUCGUGCUAUUGGAUGAGCCUGCGUUGGAUUAGCUAGUUGGUGGGGUAAUGGCCUACCAAGGCGACGAUCCAUAGCUGGUCUGAGAGGAUGAUCAGCCACACUGGGACUGAGACACGGNNCAGACUCCUACGGGAGGCAGCAGUGGGGAAUAUUGCGCAAUGGGGGCAACCCUGACGC